Vombatus ursinus (common wombat) is the source of this 434-nucleotide long non-coding RNA. RefSeq lists it as uncharacterized. The transcript is spliced from 2 exons. The record is from RefSeq and is a predicted model, not a curated record. NCBI's taxonomy places the organism in Eukaryota, Metazoa, Chordata, Mammalia, Diprotodontia, Vombatidae.
UUCGCAGAGGGUCCUUGUAAACUGUCUGCUCCCCCUUUCCUCCAUCCCCGCCCCCCACUUACGUGCAGCGGAAUUCCGCCUGGGCCCGGGGAAAGUAAGGGGUGCUUGUUGCGUUGAGGUUCCACGCCUCGGCUCCGCGUUAAGUGAGUUCAAAUCUGAAGCAAGACUGAGAGAACAUGACAGCAGUAAGGCUUCGAGAAUGGAGUGGGGAAAGAAAUAAUUAAGCCAGAAAUGGAGUUGGCCUUUUGUGGGGAUGGUGAAGAUGAUGAUGAUGAUGAUGAUUAUAAACUUUCUUGAGUUUCCUCUGUUGGACGGAAGAAAGUGGACCUCACUUUCCUCUCAGCAUCCGGAACCUUACAUAAAGAGUAUUUUCAGGAACAAAAAGAAUUCUCCAAUCCCUUAAACUUGAAUAAACCGAGUCACAUUUCUCCUUU